RNAcentral lists this long non-coding RNA (19857 nucleotides) under Triticum aestivum (bread wheat). RNAcentral's name for it is "long non-coding RNA (TAES_LNC015667)". The record is from RNAcentral. Lineage: Eukaryota; Viridiplantae; Streptophyta; Magnoliopsida; Poales; Poaceae.
CGAGGUCGUGGGUUCGAUUUUAUAACCUUGAGUUUUUAAAAUUUUAUUUAAGAAUUGGUUAAACGAAAAAGAAAACAGCUGUAAUGCAAGGUAGUGGGUCUCAAACCAGCGACCUACGGGUUGAGCGGGCAAGGGACGACCAUAUUUGCCAACAGACCACAGCUGGUUCAAUGUUAGAAAGAGUUUAUGUCCUACUUGACUAUGUUGUAGCCAUUCAAAUUCAAAAUUUUCAAAUAAUUUGAAUUUUUUGCUCGGUACGCAGCUUACUCGUGGGUAGCGAGAAACGCGGAUACCGGGCGGUAUCCGAAUUUUCCGCCCAGUACCCAAAACCAUGCUUCUAUCUAUGUACUGUACUAGCUAACCAGCUCUCACUUAUCCACGUAUUGACAUAUGUAUUGUACUGUACUUCUAUGUACUGUACUGUACUUCCAUGCCAAUUCCUCUUAAUAAAGUUAUUUUUAGUAAGAAUGACUCCGCGAUGAAGAUACCAUGCAAAGAUUUUAUUCUUAAGAGGUAUCUUCAUCUUCUAGAUCUUCUUAUUAUUAUCAACUGGCACGUCAGACUGAAUCAAAGCUCUAUUCAUUGCCUGGUCAUUUUGAUUUGUAAGUGAAACAAUACCUUAGCGGGGCAGUUAAUCAUUUUGAUUUGUUGGCCAUCAUGAGCCCAGUAACACAACAUAACUCUUCAUUGUUAAUCCAAAAGUUAAUGCAAGUGAAUGACCAGCAGAAUUCUACAUUUUGAUUUGUCGGCCAUCCCGUGCCCGGUAACACAACAGAACUCUAUGUCGGCGAUUCUUCUGAGCGAAACAAAUGCACUGGAAAGAGGAAGCAGUCGUCGACCCAGUCGGCCGAGUCCACCGGUACGGUGAACCCGGAGGCACCGGGAUGGACAAGAAGGUAUACGUGCAAUCACUACUGUUAAUUUUUUUAGGUUGCUUACCACUUGGACCAUGUGGUAAUCACUACUGUUAUUAAUUGCAAAUUAGUACGAAAAAAAUAUAGCCCACUAUGAGAUAUGUUUGAGUGGCAUUCGUACUAAAGGCACCUAAAUUUUUUUUGACACUUAAGACAGUAGGAGAGGCUCCUACUGUAUGUAAUAAAAUAGUAUCAAAGGGUCUUACAAAGUUGUAACCUUACAUCCAUUGCCAUGAUGGAGAUAGAGGGAGGGGGGAGGCUAAAGAAAGACCAAGAAGGAAACUAAAACCUAUCUAUAAAAGAGGUUAGAAAGGGUCUGUGCUUUUCUCCCACCCUAUAGCAAAGCAGGGAGAGGUCUUCUUUCAAUCAGAGUCCUCCAAGACUAUUUUGAAGGGGUGAUCCCUCUGAAGUGUUUAUUAUUUCUCUCCUUCCAUAUGCUCCAUGUAGCUUGCAAAAAGAUAUCCAUGAACAUGGAUUUGUUCCAUGUAGUUUUUGCCUUUUCUAUCCAGUGGAGCCUUGUGCCUUGCGUGAGCCAGCUUAUGUUGAAUUGUGUCCAACAUUCUUGGCUAAAUGGGCAAGUAAAAAAUAGAUGUUCCAAUGUUUCCUCUAGUGGAGAGUCACACAGAAGGCAUGUGUAGUUGUCUCCGAUGUUGUAAUGUCUCCUUUUGAGCAUAUUUCUCGUGUUGAGUCUAUCUGAUAGGAGAAGCCAGCCAAACACCUUGAUUUUCAUGGUAACUUUGGAUUCCCAAAGCCAUUUGUAGGACUGGUGGACAUCGAUCUCUCUGAAGUAGUGUGAGUAAUAUUGUUUGGCUGUAUAGUCUCCUUUUCCCCAGUUGCAUGUCCACUUGUCCUCUCCUUGGAUCAGAUUAAUAGGAGCCAACAUUUGUUGCAUUGUCAACAAUUCCUCAUGUGCCUAUUCGAACAAGGGGAGGUGGAAUGUUCCCCCAGUGUUUGUGCCGUUAGAAACUCUUGGACUGAGAUAUCCUCAUUUCUGGUAAAAGAGAAGGCUCUUGGGAACCUAUCAACCAGGAUAUCAUCUCUCCAUAGGUCUUUGCAUAGCAAAGUGUUGUGUCCAUCCUGGAUUGUGGUCUUGGUUAUGCAUCUGUAGAUAGGCAUGAGCUUGGUGAUAUCUUUCCACCAGAGGGAACCACAUGCAUCCGUUUCAUGUGGUAUUUUCAUGGUAUAGUAAGUGUUCCAGAUUAGUUCCACCCAAGGCAAGUCCCGGUGCUUAUAGAAUUUAUGGAGAUAUUUAAGUAGCAAGGCUUCACUUUGUGUUCGUAGGUCCAGAAUACCCAUCCCUCCACAUUUCUUGGGCUUGCAAAUCAUGUCCCAAGCCGCCAGAGAGUUGCAUGAUUCUCCUUGUUCUGUUUUUUGGGUCCAUAAACACUUCCGUCUGAUCUUGUCUAACAGCUCAAGUAUGCUUGCGAGUAGUUUAAGUGUGCAUAGAGCAAAGAUAGUCAACGAGGUGAUCACGGAGUUAACUAGAGAUAGUUUUGCUCCAUAAGAAAUCAUGUUGAGAUUAGCUGUAAGACGUCUUUCCACUUUACAUACCAUCGGCAUUAGAUCUUGAAAUGAAGGUCAUGUUGAUCCCAAAGGCAGUCCCAGGUAUGUGAACGACAUUUUACCAAUGAUGCAACCAAAGAUCUGGGCUAUGUUUCCACUUAGAGUGUCAUCGCAAUUUAUUGGGAUCAGAGUCAAUUUGUGAAAGUUAAUCUUCAAACCAAUGGAAGUUGCAUAAUCAGACAAGAUUUGCUUGAUCGUUGAUGCUUGCAUUUCACAGGCAGGAAGGACAAUGAUUGUGUCGUCGGCAUAUUGAAUAACAGGAUAAUCUUUUUGUGUGGUGCACGGGAAAGGCAGCUGAAUCGCACCUUGGAUAAAAACAUCAUUAAUGACAGCUUCUAGUAAAUCGGCUGCCAGCACAAAAAUUAAAGGAGAUAGCAGAUCUCCUUGGCGCACUCCACUUUUGCAGUGAAACUGACGACCUGGCUCUCCAUUGAGCAGAACUGAUGAUUUACCAGAUGAUAAGAUGGCCUUGAUCCAGUCUUGGUGCACUCCACUUCUGCAGUGAAACUAACGACCUGGCACUCAAUUGAGCAGAACUGAAGAUUUACCAGAUGAUAAGAUGGCCUUGAUAUAGUCUAGCCACUUAGCGUUGAAUCCCAUGUGUUGCAUUAUAUCUAACAUGGCAUCAUGUUCAAUUGUGUCGAAUGCUUUAGCGAAAUCAAGCUUGAGUAGGACUAUUGGUUUUUUCGAGGCUUGGUAUUGAUAGAUAUACUCAAAUGCCCAUGCCAGACAGUCUUGGAUCGAUCGACCUUUCAGAAACCCGUAUUGGUUUCGAUGCACAAUCUUCAGUCUGAGUCUUUGUAGUCGGUUGGCAAGUAGCUUGGUGAUUAUCUUAAGACAACAUUUAAGUAAUGUGAUGGGUCUGAAAUCAUUGAUUGAAGUUGGUGUAUUAAUUUUUGGUACCAAGGUAAUGAAACCCUCAUUGAUGCUCUCUAGGUUUAGAUUGCCGUCAUGGAAUUGAUUGCAUAAUUUAUAGAAGUCCUCUUUCAUCACAUGCCAACAGGUUUUAAUAAAAUGUUCAGUGAAACCAUCCGGUCCUGGUGCUCUUUCCGCAGGCAUAUAUUUUAUUACAUCGUCAAUUUCUUGGUGUGUGAAUGGCACGGUGAGUUGAUCGAGAUCUUCAACCUGUUUGAUGAUUCUAGCCAGAUCAAAUUUCAUCUCAUGUUUUGUAGAAGAGCCAAGGCGCUUUUUGAAAGCUUGGAAAAUUACCGCCUCUUUCCCUGCAUGAACUUCUGCACAAAUUCCAUCUUCCGUGGUAACAGAUGCAAUAUUAUUCCUUCUAUACCUUUUUGAAGCCAUAGCUUGGAAAAACUUAGGCUGCUCAUCACCAAACUUGACCCAUCGUAUGGUGCAUCGUCGUCUCCAGUAUUCUUUCUGGUAAGCCAGAAGCCACAAAAUAUGUUUUUUAGGUAUGCAACGAAAGUUGGCCUCCGGAAUGGUGAGAUGACGUUUGUUUUCGAGUUCAUCAAUUUCAAAAAGUGCUCUAUUUGAGUUUUCAAUGGCAAUGGAGAGUUUGGAUAUACCUUUGCUCAUGGACUUAAGAUCAUGCCUCAAUAACUUAAAUUUUCGAGAUAUGAUAGUGGCCAUAUUGUCAGAUUGAAUAGGUUUGGACCAAGCUUUAUUGAUCGUAUCUAGAAAACCAGGGUGGUGCACCCAAUAGGAUUCAAACCUGAAUAUUUUUGACCGGGGGAUGGAAGUCUCAAUGCUGACAACACAGGGAAUAUGAUCUGAUACCGGCCAGCCUAGGGGUUUAAACAGAGUCUUAGGGUAAAUUGAAGUCUAGUUGUUGCUAGUAAAAAACCAAUCAAUUUGUUCUAGGAGUGGGUCAAGUUGCAUAUUGCUCGAGGUGUAAGCUCUUCCUUUGAUUGGGAGUUCAACUAGACUAUGUGUGCGGAUGAAGUCAUUAAAAGUGAUCAUGUCCCCAAAAUUGUUGGAAAUAUGCCCUAGAGGAAAUAAUAAAAUGGUUAUUAUUGUAUUUCCUUGUUCAUGAUAAUUGUCUAUUGUUCAUGCUAUAAUUGUAUUAACUGGAAACCGUAAUACAUGUGUGAAUACAUAGACCACAACAUGUCCCUAGUGAGCCUCUAGUUGACUAGCUCGUUGAUCAAUAGAUGCUUAUGGUUUCAUGGACAUUAGAUGUCAUUGAUAACGGGAUCACAUCAUUAGGAGAAUGAUGUGAUGGACAAGACCCAAUCCUAAGCAUAGCACAAGAUCGUGUAGUUCGUUUGCUAAAUCUUUUCUAAUGUCAAGUAUCAUUUCCUUAGACCAUGAGAUUGUGCUACUCCCGGAUACCGUAGGAAUGCUUUGGGUGUGCCAAACGUCACAACAUAACUGGGUGGCUAUAAAGGUGCACUACGGGUAUCUCCGAAAGUGUCUGUUGGGUUGGCACGAAUCGAGACUGGGAUUUGUCACUCCGUGUGACGGAGAGGUAUCUCUGGGCCCACUCGGUAAUGCAUCAUCAUAAUGAGCUCAAUGUGACUAAGUAGUUAGUCACGGGAUCAUGCAUUAUGGAACGAGUAAAGUGACUUGCCGGUAACGAGAUUGAACGAGGUAUUGGGAUACCAACGGUCGAAUCUCGGGCAUGUAACAUACCGAUUGACAAAGGGAAUUGCAUACGGGAUUGCUUGAAUCCUUGACAUCGUGGUUCAUCCGAUGAGAUCAUCGUGGAACAUGUGGGAGCCAACAUGGGUAUCCAGAUCCCGCUGUUGGUUAUUGGCCGGAGAGAUGUCUCGGUCAUGUCUGCAUGGUUCCCGAACCCGUAGGGUCUACACACUUAAGGUUCGGUGACGUUAGAGUUGUUAUGGGAAAUAGUAUGUGGUUACCGAAGGUAGUUCGGAGUCCCGAAUUAGAUCCCGGACAUGACGAGGAGCUCCGGAAUGGUCCGGAGGUGAAGAUCGGUAUAUUGGACGAAGGGUAUUGGAGUCCAGAACUGUUCCGGGGGUGUGUUUCGGGAGCCCCGGCAAGUGUUGGAGGGCCUCAUGGGCCAUGGGGAAGGGGAAAACCAGCCCACUAAGGGGUGGUGCGCCCCCCCCCCCCACCCUUUCCCAUGUUAUUUAGGGAGGUGGGGCGCCUCCACCUGGCUUGGGAGGCAAUCCUCCACCUGCUUGGCUUGGGGGCAAGUCUCCCUAGGAUUUUCCUAGGGAGAUCCAAUCUGCUUGGCCGCCGCCCCCUAGGGGAAACCCUAGGGCGCCUCCCCCUCUCCCCUUGCCCCUAUAUAUAUAUAUAUAUAGUGGAGGGAUGGGAGGGCAGCCGCACCUCUUCCCUGGCGCAUCCCUCUCCCUCCUCCAACACCUCCUCCUCCUCCUCCGUAGUGCUUGGCGAAGCCCUGCCGGAGAACCACGAGCUCCAUCACCACCAUGCCGUCGUGUUGUCGGAGUUUUCCCUCAACUUCUCCUCUCCCCUUGCUGGAUCAAGGAGGGGGAGACGUCCCCGGGUUGUACGUGUGUUGAACGCGGAGGCACAGUUGUUCGGUGCUUAGAUCGGAAUCAACCGCGAUCUGAAUCGCUACGAGUACGACUCCUUCAUCCACGUUCUUGCAACGCUUCCGCUUAGUGAUCUUCAAGGGUAUGAAGAUGCACUCCCCUCUCUCUCGUUGCUAGUCUCUCCAUAGAUUGAUCUUGGUGAUGCCUAGAAAAUUUUGAAUUUUUGCUAUGUUCCCCAAGAGUGGCAUCAUGAGCUAGGUCUAUUGCGAAGAUUCUAUGCAUGAGUAGAACACAAGUUAUUGUGGGCGUUGAUUUUGUUCAAUAUGCUCACCGUUACUAGUCCUAUAUUGUUUCGACGGUAUUGUUGGAUGAAGCGGCCCGGACCGACCUUACACGUACACUUACGUGAGACAGGUUCCACCGACUGACAUGCACUUGUUGCAUAAGGUGGCUAGCGGGUGCCAGUCUCUCCCACUUUAGUCGGAUCAGAUUCGAUGAAAAGGGUCCUUAUGAAGGGUAAAUAGAAAUUGGCAUAUCACGUUGUGGUUUUGGCGUAGGUAAGAAACGUUCUUGCAAGAAACCUAUAGUAGCCACGUAAAAAACUUGCAACAACAAUUAGAGGACGUCUAACUUGUUUUUGCAGCAUAUGCCGUGUGAUGUGAUAUGGCCAAGAAGGAUGUGAUGAAUGAAAUAUAUGUGAUGUAUGAGAUUGAUCAUAUUCUUGUAAUAGGAAUCACGACUUGCAUGUCGAUGAGUAUGACAACCGGCAGGAGCCAUAGGAGUUGUCUUUAUUUAUUAUGACCUGUGAGUCACUGAAUAACGCCAUGUAAUUACUUUACUUCAUUGCUAAACCGUUAGCCAUAGUAGUAGAAGUAAUAAGUUGGUGAGACAACUUCAUGGAGACACGAUGAUGGAGAUCAUGAUGAUGGAGAUCAUGGUGUCAUGCCGGUGACGAUGAUGAUCAUGGAGCCCCGGAGAUGGAGAUCAAAAGGAGCAAAAUGAUAUUGGCCAUAUCAUGUCACUAUUUGAUUGCAUGUGAUGUUUAUCAUGUUUAUGCAUCUUAUUUUCUUAGAACGACGGUAGUAAAUAAGAUGAUCCCUCAUAAUAAUUUCAAGAAAGUGUUCCCCCUAACUGUGCACCGUUGCGAAAGAUCGUUGCUUAGAAGCACCACGUGAUGAUCGGGUGUGAUAGAUUCUAACGUUCACAUAUAACGGGUGUAAGCCAGAUUUACACACGCGAAACACUUAGGUUGACUUGACGAGCCUAGCAUGUACAGACAUGGCCUCGGAACACAAGAGACCGAAAGGUCGAGCAUGAGUCAUAUAGUAGAUACGAUCAACAUGAAUAUGUUCACCGAUGAUGACUAGUCCGUCUCACGUGAUGAUCGGACACGACCUAGUUGACUCGGAUCAUGUAUCACUUAGGAUGACUAGAGGGAUGUCUAUCUGAGUGGGAGUUCAUUAGAUGAACUUAGUUAUCAUGAACAUAGUCAAAAGGUCUUUGCAAAUUAUGUCGUAGCUUGCGUUUUAGUUCUACUGUUUUAGAGAUGUUCCAAGGGCUGAAAUUGGGAUUUCAGGCUAGUGCCCAUGUCAAGAGGUAUGAGACCUCUGACGAGUUUCUUAACUUACAAACAAAGGGAGAAAAGCUCAAUCGUUCAGCUUGUACUUAGAUUGUCUGGGUACAACAAUCACUUGAAUCGAGUGGGAGUUAAUCUUCCAGAUGAGAUAGUGAUGUUUCUCCAAAGUCAUUGCCACCAAGCUACUAGAGCUUCGUGAUGAACUAUAACAUAUUAGUGAUAGAUAUGAUGAUCCUUGAAAUAUUCGCGAUGUUUGACACCGCGAAAGUGGAAAUCAAGAAGGAGCAUCAAUUGUUGAUGGUUAGUGAAACCACUAGUUUCAAGAAGGGCAAGGGCAAAAAGGGAUACUUCAUGAUAUGGCAAAUCAGUUGCUGCUCUAGUGAAGAAACCCAAGGUUGAACCCAAACCCGAGACUAAGUGCUUCUCUAAUGAGGGGAACAGUCACUGAAGCAGAACUACCCUAGAUACUUGGUAGAUGAGAAGGCUGGCAAGGUCGACAGAAGUAUAUUGGAUAUACAUUAUAUUGAUGUGCACUUUACUAGUACUCCUAGUAGCACCAUGGUAAUAGAUACCGGUUCAGUUGCUAAGUGUUAGUAACUCGAAAAGGCUACGGAAUAAACGGAGACUAGCUAAAGGUGAGAUGACGAUAUGUGUUGGAAGUGUUUCCAAGCUUGAUGUGAUCAAGCAUCGCAUACUCUCUCUACCAUCGAGAUUGGUGUUAAACCUAAAUAAUUGUUAUUUGGUGUUUGCGUUGAGCAUAGACAUGAUUGGAUUAUGUCUAUCGCAAUACGGUUAAUCAUUUAAGGAGAAUAAUGGUUACUCUGUUUAUUUGAAUAAUACCUUCAAUGGUCUUGCACCUAAAAUGAAUGGUUUAUUGAAUCUCGGUUGUAGUGAUACGCAUGUUCAUGCCAAAAGAUAUAAGAUAGUAAUGAUAAUACCACAUACUUGUGGCACUGCCAUUUGAGUCAUAUUGGUAUAAAACGCAUGAAGAAGCUCCAUGUUGAUGGAUCUUUGGACUCACUCGUUUUUGAAAAGAUUGAGACAUGCGAACCAAGUCUAUUGGUAUAUACACAUGAAGAAACUCCAUGCAGAUGGAUCGUUUGGACUCACUUGAUUUUGAAUCACUUGAGUCAUGCAAAUCAUACCACAUGGGUAAUAUGACUGAAAGACCUCGUUUUCAGUGAAAUGGAACAAGAAAGCAACUUGUUGGAAGUAAUACAUUUUUAUGUGUGCAGUCCAAUGAGUGCUGAGGCACGUAGUGGAUGUCGUUAUGUUCUUACUUCACAGAUGAUUUGAGUAGAUGUUGAGUAUAUUUACUUGAUGAAACACAAGUCUGAAUUAUUGAAAGGUUCGAGUAAUUUCAGAGUGAAGUUGAAGAUCAUCGUGACAAGAGGAUAAAAUGUCUAUGAUAUGAUCAUAGAGAUGAAUAUCUGAGUUAUGAAUUUGGUAUACAAUUAAGACAUUGUGGAAAUUGUUUCACAACUAAUACCGCCUGGAACACCAUAGUGUGAUGGUGUGUCCGAACAUCAUAGAUGCUCCCUAUUGGAUAUGGGGCAUACCAUGAUGUCUCUUAUCGAAUUACCACUAUCGUUUAUGGGUUAGGCAUUAGAGACAACCGCAUUCACUUCAAAUAGGGCACCACGUAAUUCUGUUGAGAUGACAGUGUACGAACUAUGGUUUAGAGAAACCUAGGUUGUCGUUUCUUGAAAGUUUGGGGCUGCGACGCUUAUGUGAAAAAGUUUCAUCCUGAUAAGCUCGAACCCAAAGCGGAUAAAUACAUCUUCAUAGGACACCCAAAACAGUUGGUAUACCUCCUAAUUCAGAUCCGAAAGCAAAAGUAAUUGUUUUUAGAAACGGGUCCUUUCUAGAGAAAAAGUUUCUCUCGAAAGAAUUGAGUGGGAGGAUGGUGGAGACUUGAUGAGGUUAUUGAACCAUCACUUCAACCAGUGUGUAGCAGGGCACAGGAAGUUGUUCCUGUGGCACCUACACCAAUUGAAGUGGAAGUUGAUGAUAGUGAUCAUGAAACUUCGGAUCAAGUCACUACCAAACCUUGUAGGACGACAAAGACGCGUACUGCUUCAGAGUGGUACGGUAAUCCUGUCUUCGAGGUCAUGUUGCUAGACAACAAUGAACCUACGAGCUAUGGAGAACCGAUGGUGGGCCCGAAUUCUGACAAAUGGCUCGAGGCCAUAAAAUCCGAGAGAGGAUCAAUGUAUGAAAACAAAGUGUAGACUUCGAAAGAACUACUUGAUGGUCGUAAGGCUGUUGGAUACAGAUGGAUCUUAAAAGGAAGACGGAGAAUGCUGGUAAGUAUCACCAUUAAGAAAGCUUGACUUGUAGUUAAGAUAUUUUCCGACAAGUUCAAGGAGUUGACUACGAUGAGACUUUCUCACUCGUAGCGAUGCUAAGAGUCUGUUGGAAUUAUAUUAGCAAUUACUGCAUGAUUUAUGAAAUCUUGCAGAUAGGAUGUCAAAACAUUGUUUCCUCGACGAUAUUCUUGAGGAAAGGUUGUAUGUGAUACAACCAGAAGGUUUUGUCAAUCCUGAAAGAUGCUAACAAGUACGCAAAGCUCCAGCAAUCCUUCUAAGGACUGGAGUAAGCAUCUCAGAGUUGGAAUAUACGCUUUGAUGAGAUGAUCAAAGAUUUUGGGUUUACACAAUGUUUAUGAGAAACUUGUAUUUCCAAAGAAGUGAGUGGGAGCACUAUAGCAUUUCUGAUGAGUAUAUGUUGUUGACAUAUUGUUGAUCAGAAAUGAUGUGGAAUUUCUCGAAAGCAUAAAGGGUUAUUUGAAAAGUGUUUUUCAAUGGAAACCCUGGAUUAAGCUACUUGAACAUUGAGCAUCAAGAUCUAUAAGGAUACAUCAACAACGCUUAAUAGUACUUUCAAAUGAACACAUACCGUGACAAGAUUUUGAAGGAGUUCAAAAUAGAUCGGCAAAGAAGGAGUUCUUGGCUGUGUUAUAAGGUGUGAGUAUUUGGUAAGACUCAAGACAUGACCACGGCAGAAGAGAAGAAAUGACAAAGGUCGUCCCCUAUGCUUCAGACGUAGGCUCUACAGUAUGCUAUGCUGUGUACCGCACCUGAAGUGUGCCUUGCCAUGAGUCAGUCAAGGGGUACAAGAGUGAUCCAGGAAUGGAUCACAGGGCAGCGGUCAAACUUAUCCUUAAUAACUAGUGGACUAAGGAAUUUUCUCGAUUAUGGAGGUGGUAAAAGAGUUCAACGUAAAGGGUUACGUCGAUGCAAAUUUUGAUACUAAUCUGGAUGACUAUGAGUAGUAAACCGGAUUCAUAUAGUAGACCCGUUAUUUGGAAUAGUUCCAAAUAGCACGUGGUAGCUGCAUCUACAAGAUGGCAUAGAGAUUUGUAAAACACACAUGGAUCUGAAAGGUUUAGACCCGUUGACUAAUAACCUCUCUCACAAGCGAGAUAUGAUCAAACCCCAUGGGUGUUGAAUUCAUUACAAUCACAUAGUGAUGUGAACUAGAUUAUUGACUCUAGUGCAAGUGGGAGACUGUUGGAAAUAUGCCCUAGAGGCAAUAAUAAAAUAGUUAUUGUUGUAUUUCCUUGUUCAUGAUAAUUGUCUAUUGUUCAUGCUAUAAUUGUAUUAACUGGAAACCGUAAUACAUGUGUGAAUACAUAGACCACUACAUGUCCCUAGUGAGCCUCUAGUUGACUAGCUCGUUGAUCAAUAGAUGCUUAUGGUUUCCUGACCAUGGACAUUAGAUGUCAUUGAUAACGGGAUCACAUCAUUAGGAGAAUGAUGUGAUGGACAAGACCCAAUCCUAAGCAUAGCACAAGAUCGUGUAGUUCGUUUGCUAAAGCUUUUCUAAUGUCAAGUAUCAUUUCCUUAGACCAUGAGAUUGUGCAACUCCCGGAUACCGUAGGAAUGCUUUGGGUGUGCCAAACGUCACAACGUAACUGGGUGGCUAUAAAGGUGCACUAUGGGUAUCUCCGAAAGUGUCUGUUGGGUUGGCACGAAUCGAGACUGGGAUUUGUCACUCCGUAUGACGGAGAGGUAUCUCUGGGCCCACUCAGUAAUGCAUCAUCAUAAUGAGCACAAUGUGACUAAGUAGUUAGUCACGGGAUCAUGCAUUAUGGAACGAGUAAAGUCACUUGCUGGUAACGAGAUUGAACGAGGUAUUGGGAUACCGACGAUCGAAUCUCGGGCAAGUAACAUACCGAUUGACAAAGGGAAUUGCAUACGGGAUUGCUUGAAUCCUUGACAUGGUGGUUCAUCCGAUGAGAUCAUCGUGCAACAUGUGGGAGCCAACAUGGGUAUCUAGAUCCUGCUGUUGGUUAUUGGCCGGAGAGAUGUCUCGGUCAUGUCUGCAUGGUUCCCGAACCCGUAGGGUCUACACACUUUAGGUUCGGUGACGUUAGAGUUGUUAUGGGAAAUAGUAUGUGGUUACCGAAGGUAGUUCGGAGUAUCGGAUGAGAUCCCGGACAUGACGAGGAUCUCCGAAAUGGUCCGGAGGUGAAGAUCGGUAUAUUGGACGAAGGGUAUUGGAGUCCGGAACUGUUCCGGGGGUACCAGGCUAUGGCCAGCAUGACCGAAAGGUGUUUCGGGAGCCCCGACAAGUGUUGGAGGGCCUCAUGGGCCAAAGGGGAAGGGGAAAACCAGCCCACUAAGGGGUGGUGCACCCCCCCACACACACACACCCACACACCCUUUCCCACGUUAUUUAGGGAGGUGGGGCGCCUCCACCUGGCUUGUGAGGCAAUCCUCCACUUGCUUGGCUUGGGGGGCAAGUCUCCCUAGGAUUUUCCCUAGGGAGAUCCAAUCUGCUUGGCCUCCGCCCCCUAGGGGAAAUCCUAGGGCACCUCCCCCUCUCCCCUUACCCCUAUAUAUAGUGGAGGGGUGGGAGGGCAGCCGCACCUCUUCCCUGGCGCAGCCCUCUCCCUCCUCGAACACCUCCUCCUCCUCCGUAGUGCUUGGCGAAGCCCUGCCGGAGAACCACGAGCUCCAUCACCACCAUGUCGUCGUGCUGUCGGAGUUUUCUCUCAACUUCUCCUCUCCCCUUUCUGGAUCAAGAAGGAGGAGACGUCCCCGGGCUGUACGUGUGUUGAACGCGGAGGCACAGUUGUUCGGUGCUUAGAUCGGAAUCAACCGCGAUCUGGAUCGCUACGAGUACGACUCCUUCAUCCGCGUUCUUGCAACGCUUCCGCUUAGCGAUCCUCAAGAGUAUGAAGAUGCACUCCCCUCUCCCUCAUUGCUAGUCUCUCCAUAGAUUGAUCUUGGUGAUGUGUAGAAAAUUUUGAAUUUCUGCUACGUUCUCCAACAAAAAUUUCCACCAGGUUUAUUGCGGUUAUCUGGGCUUCGAAUGAAGUUUAAAUCGCCCAAAAUGAGCCAAUCUUCAUUGAGAGGUAUAUUCAAGUCAAAAAGCCAUUGGAUGAAUUCUUUGCGUUGAGAGGGAUAUUCAAAAAAAUGAGCCAAUCUGUAACUUUCAAUAUCUCUGUUGCUGAAAAUGUAGGCACUCUGAGUAUUACCUCUGCUUCAACAGCCACCACUCAGUUUGAAACAUUGAGAUACGCGGUUUAAAAAUUGUUUCCAAUUGUGCGGAAUUAACCUGUAUAGCCUAUCAUGUCAUUUGAUGAGCUAAGAACAAAAAAGAAGUCUUGCCCAUCCCCUGUUGGCAUUGUACAUAAGUUCAAGGCAUCUGAGAAAACAAUGCAUUUUAAUUUCAGGUUACGAAUUGGGCGUGCUCCUCCGGAUAGAGCACCCUGUGCUGGUACAGUCACUCCUUUAGAGGAAACAACAAGGAGAUACUCUAAUAAACCGUCGGACAAUGUAAUAAAGCCAGAGAUUGGUAUGAGUUUUGAUUCCCUUGGAGAAGUGUACGAUUUCUAUAACUUGUAUUCUUGGGAGGUUGGAUUUGGUAUGAGAUAUGGCAAGAGCCGUUUGAACGUCGAGCGGACAAAGUGUUUGCAAGAGAUCGUCUGUGGAUGCUCGGUCAACACUUAAAACCUUUUGAUAUUAUCUUUGACAUUUUCUUUCAUAAUUAUUGCACUGUAAUUCAUAUUUAAAUAGCUGAUAGAGUGGAAAAAUAUUGCAGGGAAAACCAGAGCAACAGAAUAGCCGGUCUUGCCGCUGUGAGUGCCCUGCGAUGACACAGGAGGCAAGAGAAAGGAGUCCCCGACUCAGUCCGUGGAAUCGUCUGGGGAAGCCUGAGCAGCAAAACAGCCGGUCUUGCUGAUGUGAAUGCCCUGCAAUGUUUUCGAGGAUGGGGCUUAGAGCAUGGUUAAUAGCACAGCCGGCUGCUGGCUAUAAACCCCCUCCACAUCAUCUAUAAAGCCUUCACACACAAUAGGUUGGCUUUUAGGUUGGCUAUAAGAGUGACUCUAAUAAAGACUUAAAUAUUUAAUGCUUGUUGUAUACCUGUUAUGAUCGAAUGUAAACAACAUCUUUGUGGCCAAUAUUUCACACAGACUAGUUGACUAAGUCUCCUCAAUUUUGUUAGUUGACUAAUUCCAAAGUGUGGGCAAAUAUUAUGAAAUAGCACAGUCAAUAUUAUCUGUUUUUCAUACUGUACACUAUAUUCCCUGUUCCCUGUUCUUCACUGUUUUUUCGCUUCCACAAAACUUGAUUCAGAUAAACUUGGUGCUAAUACAAAUAGGAAAUUUCAGUAGAUUUAGUGAUCUUGUACAGUACUUUAUUUUAUUUUCCAUUGCACAAUGCUUACAUAUGGACAUGGAGCUUCUAAGAUUAAGAUUAAUGUGCAUGUUUCUCCUUUUCUGUCCACUAUGAAGGAUGGUCUUGCACUAGGAUCAGUUACUGAAAUUCAACUUCUGUAAUUACCUAUAUGACUACAAUCUUCUUGGUUACUGCUGCAAAUAAAUUCAUCAAUAGUUUUUCAUCCCCAUGAAUUACUCUAGUAUAUAUAUCAUACAAGUGAACAACAGCCAGAUCAUACAAAUAUAUGACACCACGAAGGGCCAUCUGAUUGUUCAGACUUCAGAGUUGACAUAAACAGGGACACAAGUGUAUCAACUAGCAGUGCUUGUGGAUCUGGGUCGUCAAUAUACCAAGGAGAUGUAGUAGAGCACCAAUGUUGGCCGUCGGUGCCCAGCAAGGACCUUCAGCCGAAGAAUCUGCUGCACUCGGCCUGGCGGGUCAGCAUGGUGCAGAGGAGGCCGGCGGCAUGAUCAGAGUCGGGACGAAGUGAGGCAGCGGCGGCAUGACGAGUUCAGGCGCCGGCCGGACGAACCGAUGCGCCUGCGGCCGGAUGAGAUGAGGCGCCGGCGCCACGUCGACCUGAGGCUCCGAUGGAGGGCCACCAGAGGAACCGGUGCACGCGUCCUUCUAGGAUGCUGGCCAUCUCGUUGAUGCUGCGCCGCCGGCGAUUCUAGGAUUCACGAGGUGGCAAAUUGGGGCUGAUUUUGGAGGCUUUAUAUCUUCGAUUUGGCGGAUGAAAACGAUUUGGGGCGAGGGAAGGAAGGAUUUGGCGCGGUGGUGAUGGAAGAAGCGCGGGAGGUGAGGAAGACGCACGGGAUCCAGAGCGCCGGCUCUAGCGCUUGCAACGGGCUGCAAGCGGGCGGCUGUUCUUGGGUUUCUGUGUUGUAGCCGGGCGACUCAUGGAGCGCCCGCUCCCUUCUCUCUCCUGCCUUCUCUCCCCUCCAAGUAUACUUUUUCUGACGUGGAACGGCUUACAGCCAGCUGACUAGGCAUUAUUGUACUUGCUCUACUAGGUCGAGGAAAUUGAACGAAAGAAGUACAUUGCAAGACACAACAAUGACGACAACCGUGGGAGGUGGAGCAAGGUUGUUUAUGAGGUGACCAUGUUGGACGAUGGCGAGUGGUUUGAGUGUGAAUGCGGGCAUUUCGCCGACAUGGGAUGCUGCGCUGUCAUGCUUUCAAGGUAUUUUGGGAUCAUAAUUUUGGUCAUUGCUUAUCUGUCCGUGAAAAUAAUGUUUCAUUUUGCAUGUUUCAGGUUAUAGAUUAUGUUGGCGUGACCCAGAUACCGAAGCGGCACAUCCUCAAAAGAUGGACGAAAAAAAAUCCUAGGGACAUCGUGGCCCAGCACCUUGCUCACUUCCAAAGAGACCAAGCCGUGAACCGAUCUUUCAUCCGUCGGAGCUCGACCCUCUACCUAUAUGCCAUGCAUGGAGCUGGUUAGGUUUGGGGAUUAAUCCGUCGUGACGUAUGCACUCGUGCUGGGUCAGAUAAAGGAUAUAAUUGUGGAGGCAUCACCGCUAGCUGAAAGCCCGAAACAAGAGAUGUGCUUGGCUAUGAGGAGAGACAAGCUGUUGAGGCAAAUCACAAUCACAUUGCAUUGGCGGGCACAAACAUCAACAUUGAGGGAGAGAUGAUUGACAACGAGAACAUUGUGACCCUUUCUGGUAACUGGGAUGCACUUGCUGACUGUGCAAUAAACCUGGUUCCCAUGCUCAAGCUAUUGGGAAAGGUCUUGGCUGUAGAUGCGGAUGACUCGGGCAGUUUCUUAGGGUCAGAAUUGAGCUACCACUUAACCGUCGCUUGCAGAUGCAAGUAUCCAUUGGAAUCAAGGGAAGUGCACACGAACCAGAAAAGUAUGAACUAAGGUAUGAGAGGGUGCCGCACUACUGUUUUUGGUGUGGUUUCAUUGGCCAUGAUGAUACAGAGUGUGAGAAGAAAAGAUUGGGGGUGCCAAAGAGGGAGUGUGAUGACAGGUUGAGGUGCUCUCCUCUGCGUAAAUUUGAACACCGCCCAUCGAACAUUCCAGCAGGGGCAAAGCCUACAUCGGCAAGGGGCUUAGAUUUUUCCUCAGGCAGCAUGGGAUCAUCAAAUCUGGGAGGUGCACCAAUGGGUCGAAGUAGUAGACGCAACAUGCAGAUGGAGCAGCAUAUACCUGAACGUGUGGAUGCUAGGGAUGGUUUUGAACAUCAGGAGAGAAGGGGUGAACCGGUUGUGGAUGCGGCCUUAGCUGGACAGAUUCGGGCCAUGCAUAUGCGCCUUCAUAGAGAGAUUCCUAAGUCGAGUAAUAUGCAUGAACCUGGCGGCCGUAAGCAACAUAAAACUGCUGGGCGCGGGCCAGGAAGGAUCCCUAUGCCCAUUCCACUGGCAUGUAAACCUCCAGUAAAGAUGUUUGGACCGCUGGACUUGAUGCAUUCACCGGAUAUGAUACCGUCUAUGAGAGGCACUGAUUCACUUGUGGUUUCCUAUGGACCAUCUGAUGUAGUCAUGUCUGAUGCUGAGUCGGUCCUUGGGAAGCGUCAGGCCCUUAGUGAUGCUGAUCAUGAGGAGGAGCACCAGGGGGGUACACAUGUGGUGGAUCAAGACAGGGAAGAGGAGGGUGGAAAAUCUAAAAAAGGCAAAGUCAAGAGGACAGAGGAGGCUAUUGGACGGGACACGGGGGCGAAGGGAGAGGUGGACAUGGAGGCAACCAGCCCAGGGGCCGCUGGUAAACUGACGGGGCCAGUUGUGGCGCCCCGUCAGGAGCAAUGAAUUGUUUAAGUUGGAACUGUCGGGGUGUUGGGAAUAAACCGACAGUUCGGGAUUUGGUGGCUUUGGUUUGGGCUACUGAAUCAAAGAUUGUGUUCCUGUGUGAGACUAGACAAAGUGCAGAAAAAGUCCGUCGUCUUCGUGCUAGAUUGGGUCUUAGAGGUUUUGCUGGUGUCGACAGUGUUGGGCUUACUGGGGGUCUUGCUUUGUUUUGGUGUGAUCAGAUGUACGUGGAUGUUAAAGAUUCGAAUGAAAGAUAUAUUGAUGCGUAUGUGCGUGUGUCCCCCAGUGCUCCGAUGUGGCGUUUAACUUGUGUUUAUGGCGAACCACAAACGGAAAACCGUCAUCGUAUGUGGGCAACAAUGCAAAAUCUGAAAGUGCAGUCUGACCUUCCUUGGUGUGUCAUAGGGGAUUUUAAUGAAGCUCUCUGGUCCUUUGAACAUAUGUCAGCCACCCCAAGAAGUGAACCUCAGAUGCAAGCCUUCAGGGAUGUACUGGAAACUUGUAAUCUGGUGGAGUUGGGGUUCCAAGGCCUCCCAUUCACAUAUGAUAAUAAACGGCGUCGAAACAGAAACGUUAAAGUGCGGUUGGAUCGAGCGGUGGCGGACAACAACCUUGUUCUGACCAUCUUCCUAUUUUACUAAAGUGUGUUGCCGAUGAAGAAAAGGUAUACAGGCCGAGUUUUAGAAGGUAUGAAAUUUUCUGGAAAAGAGAUGCAAGUCUACAGGAAAGAAUUGCCAAUGCCUGGGAGGAGGCCGGUGCCAAGUUUAACCUUGGUGAUGUCCGGGAGGGGCUCAAGAGUUUAUUACUUAAUCUGCAUGCGUGGGGAAAGAAAAGGUUUGUAACGUCACUAGAGAGCUUGAGAAGUCCAGAACUAAAUUAGAAGAGCUGCUCAAUAUGAAUGCGGACAGAGAUGAAAUAAAAAAGGUCUCUGACCAUAUGAAUGAAUUGUUGUACCAGGAGGAAAUGCUGUGGCUGCAACGGUCGUGCAUCGGCUGGCUAAAAGAGGGCGAUCGGAAUACAGAAUUCUUUCACAGGAAAGCGAUUUGGCGUGCUCGUAAAAAUAAGGUGAGAAGUUUAAUUGAUAACAAUGGUGUUGAACAUGCAGAUCACAAGGCGAUGGGUGGCCUAGUGCAGGAAUAUUUUCAGAACAUCUUUUCCAGGGAUACGUCGUUGAACCCAACUCCGGUGGUGAACCUCUUCGAGCCUGUGGUCACUGAUGCGAUGAAUGUAAAUCUGUGUGCUGAAUUUUCAGAGAAGGAGAUAGCUGAUGGGCUCUUUCAGAUCUGUUAGCAAUAAACCACGCAUUGUAUGGGUCAUGCGCGUAGUUAGUUGUAGUGGAUAUCCGAGCGUCGGAUGCUGGCCAAGUCUUGGACAUGGGACAGCUGCAGUCCCGUUCGUGUGGAGAGGCAGGUCCGGGUCAUGUGGAUCAUGGGUGAUCAAAUCAGCUAUUAGUGCGUGAGUGCAUGUAGUGGAGCAGGGCGUGUGCAUAAGAGCCGGGCAGGUUGUUGCCUGGCUGUGUGCGUGUGUGUGUGAGCUAUAUAUAGCCAUGUACGUGUGUGGUGUGUCCACCGAGGUUUGUAGCCAUGUAGCCACUGUAAAGAAGAAAAGGAUUGGAGCGUUCGUGCGCCCGUGGCGGCGUUCGUGCGCCGGUCGGAAAAUUUUGUGUCCAUUGUUCUUCUUCUUCCACCUCCGUUCGAUUGUGAGGAGAGGUAGCUAGAGGGCUGCGGUUCCAACAUUUGGUAUCAGAGCCGGUUUCAUCUUGGGUGUCGCCUCUUGCCGGAGGCGUGCCGGCGGUGGCAGCGCUCGCCGGCGGCUGCGCGAUGGAGCUCCGGGCCGUGUGUCGGCCCAUGGAGGUGGGCGGCGUUGUGGCUCUCAUGGCGCGUGGCGGAUGCGGCGGGCGGUGAUGUCGUGCGUGCGGCGACCGCGGAGGCCGCCGAGGCGCUGCGUGGUGGCGCGGCGGCGCAGCACGGCAUGGCGGCAUGGAGGCCGCGGCGGUGCAGGGCAAUAAGACGCGGCGGCGAGCCGGGCGCGACCGGUGCGUGUUAUGGGUGCGCACUGGACGUGUCGGGCGCGUCGGGACCGCGGGAGUGGACCGCGUCGAGGCGCUAGACCUGGUUGCGCAGAUCACGUACGUGCACGGUGGGAGCGCGGGCCGGGAGCGCGGGGACGUGAGGAGUGCGCGCGAAGGGCACGGCGGUCGCGGAGACGAGAAGGUCGCGAAGGACCUGCGUGGUGGCGCAGAGGUCGCGACGGCUCGGAGCGACAACCAUGGAAGGUGCGUGGCACGGAGGCGCGGCGUGGCGGCUGCCAUGGCGAACGCGGAGGCGGCACGCGGUGAGCGUCUGGUGCUGUCGGGCUCGUCGGGCGCGUUGAGUGUGCGCGGGACGUGCGGGACGCACUGGUGCGGUCGGGCUCGUCGGGUGCGUCGGGUGCGCGCGGGACGUGUGGCGCUCGGAGGGACGCCAGGCGUGUGUCGCCGGCGGAGAAGGAGCUCGGCGUAUGUCGCCGGGGUCGUGACGGAGCACGGUGCGACCGGCGUCAGUGCGCCAUGUCGGGUCCGUGGCGGUGCGACCGGCGUCGAUGCGCCGGGUCGGGUCCGCGGACUGGGUCACGGUUGUGACGACGACAACAACGAGAGCUGCAACAACUUCGGCGGCGGCAAGGUCGUAGUUUAGGGGGAGAGUGUUAGCAAUAAACCACGCAUUGUAUGGGUCAUGCGCGUAGUUAGUUGUAGUGGAUAUCCGAGCGUCCGAUGCUGGCCAAGUCUUGGACAUGGGACAGCUGCAGUCCCGUUCGUGUGGAGAGGCAGGUCCGGGUCAUGUGGAUCAUGGGUGAUCAAGUCAGCUAUUAGUGCGUGAGUGCAUGUAGUGGAGCAGGUCGUGUGCAUAAGAGCCGGGCAGGUUGUUGCCUGGCUGUGUGCGUGUGUGUGUGAGCUAUAUAUAGCCAUGUACGUGUGUGGUGUGUCC